RNAcentral lists this unclassified non-coding RNA (337 nucleotides) under soil metagenome. RNAcentral describes it as "partial contains 5.8S ribosomal RNA, internal transcribed spacer 2, and large subunit ribosomal RNA". The stretch from base 1 to 120 matches the Rfam family "5.8S ribosomal RNA", at positions 35 to 154 of the family's 154-position model. The record is from RNAcentral.
GAUGAAGAACGCAGCGAAAUGCGAUAAGUAGUGUGAAUUGCAGAAUUCAGUGAAUCAUCGAAUCUUUGAACGCACAUUGCGCCCCUUGGUAUUCCAUGGGGCAUGCCUGUUCGAGCGUCAUUUGUACCUUCAAGCUCUGCUUGGUGUUGGGUGUUUGUCUCGCCUCUGCGUGUAGACUCGCCUUAAAACAAUUGGCAGCCGGCGUAUUGAUUUCGGGGCGCAGUACAUCUCGCGCUUUGCACUCAUAACGACGACGUCCAAAAGUACAUUUUUACACUCUUGACCUCGGAUCAGGUAGGGAUACCCGCUGAACUUAAGCAUAUCAAUAAGCGGAGGA